AAACUCAAAUGAAGUUGACGGGGCCCGGCACGAAGCGGUGGAGCAUGUGGUUAAUUCGACGCAACGCGAAGAACCUUACCUGGACUUGACAUCCCGGGAAUCCCCUGGAAACAGGGAGUGCCCUUCGGGAACCCGGUGACAGGUGCUGCAUGGUUGUCGUCAGCUCGUGUCGUGAGAUGUUGGGUUAAGUCCCGCAACGAGCGCAACCCCUACGUUUAGUUGCUAACGCGUGAAGGCGAGCACUCUAGACGAACUGCCGUUGACAAAACGGAGGAAGGUGGGGAUGACGUCAAAUCAUCAUGCCCCUUAUGUUCUGGGCUACACACGUGCUACAAUGGCCGGUACAGACGGACGCAAAGCCGCGAGGUGGAGCAAAUCCUAAAAAGCCGGUCUCAGUUCGGAUUGCAGGCUGCAAUUCGCCUGCAUGAAGUCGGAAUCGCUAGUAAUCGCAGGUCAGCAUACUGCGGUGAAUACGUUCCCGGGCCUU
RNAcentral lists this ribosomal RNA (487 nucleotides) under uncultured Desulfosporosinus sp. RNAcentral describes it as "bacterial SSU rRNA". It matches the Rfam family "Bacterial small subunit ribosomal RNA", at positions 897 to 1382 of the family's 1533-position model. Lineage: Bacteria; Bacillati; Bacillota; Clostridia; Eubacteriales; Desulfitobacteriaceae. The record is from RNAcentral.